UACUGGGUAUUUUUAGUGGCGAAAGGGUGCGUAACACGUGGGUAAUCUACCGUAAAGUUCGGAAUAACUUCGAGAAAUCAAAGCUAAUACCGAAUGUGAUCUGACAGGGACAUCCCUGUUCCAUUAAAGCUAGGGACCUUCGGGCCUGGCGCUUUACGAUGAGCCCGCGCCCUAUCAGCUUGUUGGUGAGGUAAAAGCUCACCAAGGCUAAGACGGGUAGCCGGUCUGAGAGGACGAUCGGCCACACUGGAACUGAGACACGGUCCAGACACCUACGGGUGGCAGCAGUCGAGAAUCAUUCACAAUGGGGGAAACCCUGAUGGUGCGACGCCGCGUGGGGGAUGAAGGUCUUCGGAUUGUAAACCCCUGUCAUUUGUGAACAAACCUUUUGGUUUAAUAGAUCAAAAGCUGAUAGUAGCAAAAGAGGAAGGGACGGCUAACUCCGUGCCAGCAGCCGCGGUAAUACGGAGGUCCCAAGCGUUGUUCGGAUUUACUGGGCGUAAAGGGUGCGUAGGUGGCCAGGAAAGUUUGAUGUGAAAGCUCCGAGCUCAACUCGGAAAAUGCAUUGAAUACUACUUGGCUUGAGGAUCGGAGGGGAGACUGGAAUUCUCGGUGUAGCAGUGAAAUGCGUAGAUAUCGAGAGGAACACCAGUGGCGAAGGCGAGUCUCUGGACGAUUCCUGACACUGAGGCACGAAAGCUAGGGGAGCAAACAGGAUUAGAUACCCUGGUAGUCCUAGCCGUAAACGGUGCACAC
Molecule: ribosomal RNA, 756 nt
Filed under: Verrucomicrobia bacterium SCGC AAA164-J08
Lineage: Bacteria; Pseudomonadati; Verrucomicrobiota
Description: bacterial SSU rRNA
Rfam family: Bacterial small subunit ribosomal RNA
Source: RNAcentral